AUGCCCUCGCCCGCCUUCGCCGGCGUGCAGUACCUUCCAUACAACUACUCACCGCCCGCGUUCGCGUCCUCCCCGACGCCCCCUCUUCGCCGUUGCGCGCUACCCUUCUCUCACCUCGGCGGCGCCGACGAGACCGAGGCCGACAUGGACGAGAUCAUCGCGGAAGGUUCGGCCGCGGCCGCCGCGUCUCCCGGGUUCACCGCGGACGAGACAGUGAAUCUCACCAGCGGCAUGGAGGGCGAGCUCGGCUACAUCUACGGCGACGAGGAACAGGAGAAGCAGGACGAGGAAGACGAGGAGGACGAGGAGGAGCCGGCGAGGGGGCGCAAGAAGAAGAAGGCGCCGGCCAGGCCAGAGCCGCGCAUCAAGUGGGCGUCCAAAGAGGAGGAAUGCCUCGCCGAAGUAUGGAAAGUCGUCUUCCUCGACCCGACCACAGGCGCGAACCAGAGCCUCGAGACGUACUGGGCGCGCAUCAAGGCCGAGUUCGACGAGCGCAAGCUCGUCGACCCCUACUUCAAAGGCGUCUACAUGCAGCGCAGGGCGAAGGCGAUGGCGAACCAUUGGGGGCGUAUCCAGGGGGCGUGCAACAAAUGGCAUGGGAUCGUCGAGGAGGUCGCCGGUCGCCCGGAGAGCGGCGCCAGCAUGGAGGAUCGGGUAUGCCACGCCGCUCUCCCGCCUCUUUUCGCCGUUCACAAGCCAACUGUUGGUUCGUCCCCGCGCAGUUGCUGCGCAUGUUCGGCCUGUAUCGUCAGGGCAACAGCGACGCCGAGUUCAAGUACCUCCACGUCUACAAGCGCAUCCACACGUGCGACAAGUGGGCGGAAGUCCGGCGCACCAUCGAGAAGGCCAAGGAGACCUACAAGCCUGACGCGCCGACUCCGGGCGCGUCAGAUGGGUGGCCGGAUGGCAACAAAGGUGCCAAGAAGGGGAAACACGCCGACGCGGCCACAGCUCGCGUGCAGGAGUCCAUCCAGCACUGCCUCACCGACGCACAGGUCCGGGCCGCCCUUCGUGAAGAUAAGACCGAGGCACGUUGGUCGGCGUUGA
RNAcentral lists this ribosomal RNA (1047 nucleotides) under Triticum aestivum (bread wheat). Its description in RNAcentral is "partial small subunit ribosomal RNA". Lineage: Eukaryota; Viridiplantae; Streptophyta; Magnoliopsida; Poales; Poaceae. The record is from RNAcentral.